RNAcentral lists this ribosomal RNA (606 nucleotides) under uncultured Glomus. RNAcentral's name for it is "SSU rRNA". It matches the Rfam family "Eukaryotic small subunit ribosomal RNA", at positions 392 to 1003 of the family's 1831-position model. The record is from RNAcentral. Lineage: Eukaryota; Fungi; Glomeromycota; Glomeromycetes; Glomerales; Glomeraceae.
GAGCCUGAGAAACGGCUACCACAUCCAAGGAUGGCAGCAGGCGCGCAAAUUACCCAAUCCCGACACGGGGAGGUAGUGACAAUAAAUAACAAUACGGGGUUCUUUAGGAUCUCGUAAUUGGAAUGAGUACAAUUUAAAUCUCUUAACGAGGAACAAUUGGAGGGCAAGUCUGGUGCCAGCAGCCGCGGUAAUUCCAGCUCCAAUAGCGUAUAUUAAAGUUGUUCCAGUUAAAAAGCUCGUAGUUGAAUCUCGGGAUCAAUUUAUUGGUCGUGCUAUUGUACGUACUGGUAUUAUUGAUUUCUACCUUCUGACGAACCAUGAUGUCAUUAAUUUGGUGUCAUGGGGAAUCAGGACUGUUACUUUGAAAAAAUUAGAGUGUUUAAAGCAGGCUCACGCUUGAAUACAUUAGCAUGGAAUAACGAAAUAGGACGUUUGAUUCUAUUUUGUUGGUUUCUAGGAUCGACGUAAUGAUUAAUAGGGAUAGUUGGGGGCAUUAGUAUUCAAUUGUCAGNGGUGAAAUUCUUGGAUUUAUUGAAGACUAACUACUGCGAAAGCAUUUGCCAAGGAUGUUUUCAUUAAUCAAGAACGAAAGUUAGGGGAUCGAAG